AAGAACUGCUAAUUCAUGCUACCAUGUCUGAACACAUGGCUUUCUUA
Molecule: transfer RNA, 47 nt
Filed under: Oenomys hypoxanthus (rufous-nosed rat)
Lineage: Eukaryota; Metazoa; Chordata; Mammalia; Rodentia; Muridae
Description: partial tRNA-Ser
Source: RNAcentral